RNAcentral lists this long non-coding RNA (405 nucleotides) under Linum usitatissimum (flax). RNAcentral describes it as "long non-coding RNA (LUSI_LNC007817)". The record is from RNAcentral. Lineage: Eukaryota; Viridiplantae; Streptophyta; Magnoliopsida; Malpighiales; Linaceae.
UUAUCCCAAUGCUAAAAAGGAACCUCCUCCCGAAUGUGUUCCUCUUUUUGCUCUUCUUUGCUUGUAUCACCUUCCUCCGCCAUACUCGGCUAGGGAUUUCCCCACAUCCUCUUCCCCUUUUUGCUGUUAAAUUGAUACAUAGAGCUCUGAUCGUUGAGGGGAAAAUUAAGGAAGGAAUUUGAGAAACUGCAAUCAGGAUCUCGGCCUCGGCCUCGGAGUCCUAAGAAAAAAAAGGCCUUUGGUUGAAUCAGUGACCAGAGUGUCCUUUUUUCAGGAGGGCGACACCAUCAACAAACCCUAAUUAAUUUUAACAACUGCUUCAUUUCGAUCUCAACUUUUAUUCAAUCAUGCAGUUGUUGAGGUCUCUCCCUUUCUCUCUCUCUCUCUCUCUCUCUCUCUCUGCAU